UACAGAGGUCUCAAGCGUUGUUCGGAUUCAUUGGGCGUAAAGGGUGCGUAGGCGGCGCGGUAAGUCGGGUGUGAAAUCUCGGAGCUUAACUCCGAAACUGCCAUGGAUACUAUCUGUCUUGAAUAUUGUGGAGGUAAGCGGAAUAUGUCAUGUAGCGGUGAAAUGCUUAGAUAUGACAUAGAACACCAAUUGCGAAGGCAGCUUGCUACACAGUUAUUGACGCUGAGGCACGAAAGCGUGGGGAUCAAACAGG
RNAcentral lists this ribosomal RNA (253 nucleotides) under uncultured bacterium. Its description in RNAcentral is "partial 16S ribosomal RNA". It matches the Rfam family "Bacterial small subunit ribosomal RNA", at positions 524 to 776 of the family's 1533-position model. The record is from RNAcentral.